AUGGGUGCGUCUUCGGACUGGUGUACAGGUGGUGCAUGGUUGCCGUCAGCUCGUGUCGUGAGAUGUUGGGUUAAGUCCCGCAACAAGCGCAACCCUUGCCCCGUGUUACUAACAGGUCAAGCUGAGGACUCUCGGGGGACUGCCGGCGUCAAGCCGGAGGAAGGUGGGGACGACGUCAAGUCAUCACGGCCCUUACGCCUAGGGCUACACACGUGCUACAAUGGCCGGUACAAAGGGCAGCAAGGUCGCAAGACGGAGCGAAUCCCAGAAAGCCGGUCCAAGUUCGGAUUGUGGGCUGCAACUCGCCCACAUGAAGCCGGAAUCGCUAGUAAUCGCGGAUCAGCCACGCCGCGGUGAAUACGUUCCCGGGCCUUGUACACACCGCCCGUCACGCCAUGGGAGCCGGGAGUGCCCGAAGUCCGUGUGCUAACCGCAAGGAGGCAGCGGCCUAAGGCAAGCUCGGUGACUGGGGCGAAGUCGUAACAAGGUAACCGU
RNAcentral lists this ribosomal RNA (495 nucleotides) under uncultured Actinomycetes bacterium. RNAcentral describes it as "bacterial SSU rRNA". It matches the Rfam family "Bacterial small subunit ribosomal RNA", at positions 1010 to 1503 of the family's 1533-position model. Lineage: Bacteria; Bacillati; Actinomycetota; Actinomycetes. The record is from RNAcentral.